Molecule: long non-coding RNA, 1961 nt
Organism: Pyrus x bretschneideri (Chinese white pear)
Lineage: Eukaryota; Viridiplantae; Streptophyta; Magnoliopsida; Rosales; Rosaceae
Exons: 3
Source: RefSeq, a predicted model, not a curated record
AGCCAUUUUCCAAGGACAAUUGCUUGAUGGAGGGGUCGGCGACGGAGUUUGAGCAGAGGUAGAGGAGAGUGUUGAAGUGGUGGUGGUUGAGGCGGGUGUUCUGAGAAACGGCGGAUUCGUAGAGGGAGAUGGCGGCGGGGAGGUCUUUGUGCUUGGAGCAGAGAGUGAGGGAGGAGUGGAAUUGGGCUUCUGGGGUUUGCUUCUUCUUGAUCUUCUUCGGGGUCCCCAUUGGCAUGGCGGAGUAGGGUUCUGGGGAAGACAAAAAACGGAGGUUUCUGGUUCUUAAUGUUUAAAUAAGUAUGGGCUGGGCUUGCAUAUAGAGAGUGCAAGGUGAGAGAACGUUGGAUUUAUAAGAAGAUGGGCUGGACUUUGAAUACAAACUAAAUAGUUGCUUUUUUUUUUUUUUUUCUUUUUUGAGAAUUAAUGGUUGCUUCAAGCUCUAUGAUGUUUAAGCUUGGGUCGUUUCUUCUUCCUCCUAUUCUUUCUCAUUGAAUCUGGUUCUUCAGGGUGUUGGUCUCUGUUAUCAUCGGCGAUCCCGGAGCUGGGACUGUUGUCGGACAAGUUGAAUUGAACUCAGAUGUAUAUGAAGUGAAUUGCGCUGUCCCAGACUCCCCAACCAUGCCAGGCAUGUAAAUUCAUUAUUGGUCAAUAUAAAAGUGUAUUUCUACCUUAGUCCAAUUUCAGGUAGAAUAUUUGUCUCAAAACAUGUUAUAUUUGAUGAGUCUAUAUUUCCAUAUACAUCUAUAUGUCAUACUUAUUACACAAAAACUAAUGUCUCCCCAUUAAUGUAAACCUCUACAACAUCAACACCACAAUUAGUCAUACAUCUUAAUACAAUAAUUCUACCAAGACCACCAUUCUCACUGAUUAAUCAACCUUCAUCAUCUAGAGCCUCAGAGUCUUUAAAUUUAACAUCCAUUAGUGCUCUAGAGUGUUUCAAUUUUUCCACACCUUUUAGUUCAACCCUGCCAUCUUGAUUUUUAGCCAGAAAGUCUUUAUGUUGUUCUUCCAGUUCCUUCAGUAAGUUCACAUCCUAUGCAAUUGUUCAGACCAGUGAUGUCUUUGCUAUUGAGUCUAGUUAUUUUAAGCAUUCUAGUAAAAUGAAAAUUUAGUUGGGUGUAAAUUACUUUAUAGUAUCAGAGGAAUCCAAAUGGUACUAUUGCUAGACACAAUGCUAGAUUUGUUGCAAAAGGAUAUAGUCAAGAAGGUGGUAUUGCCUCUAGUGAGACAUUUAGUCAUGUGGUUAAACCCACCAUUGUCAAACUCAUUUUAGCAUUGGCAGCUCAAUUUAAUUGGUUAGCAAAACAAUUAGGUGUAAAAAUGCAUAUUUCUUCAUGGCGAAUUACAUGAAGAAGUGUACAUGGCUCAGCCUCAAGGGUCUAUUAGUCAGAUCAUCCUUCUAGUUUUGUGUGCAAACUUAAAAAGUCUUUGUAUGGUCUAAAGCAAGCUCCAAGGGCUUGGAAUGAAAAGUUUACUAGUUUUCUAUAUGUUUUGGGUUCCAAAUCUCUUAUGCAAAUCAAUCUCUAUUUGUUAAACACUCUUUUCUUGGUAGUGUGGUUUUGUUGUUCUACGUGGAUGAUACUAUUCUUACUAGUAGCAGUUCUCAACUCAUCUGUGAUGUUAUUUUGGCCUUAACUAAGGAGUUUAAUAUGAAAGAUUUGGGGCAAUUGAAUUACUUUCUGGGAUUGCAGAUUACAUAUCAGUUCACUAGUUUGUUUAUCUCUCAAACUAAGUGUAUUGGAGAUUUGUUGCAAAAAGUUGACCGGCAAGAUUGCAAGCCUUGUGCUACACCAUGUUUACCUUAUCAUAGGCUUUUAAAAGAUGAGGGAAAGCUAUAUUAUAGUCCAGAGCAGUAUAUAAGUAUUGUUGGAGCUUUGCAAUAUCUCACUUUUAGUAGGCCUGACAGUGCCUUUUCAGUCAAUAACCAGCAUUGUCAAUUUAUGCAUAACUCAAUAAACUCU